GACGUAGGGCGCGAGCGUUGUCCGGAUUUAUUGGGCGUAAAGAGCUCGUAGGCGGUUUGUCGCGUCUGCUGUGAAAACCCGAGGCUCAACCUCGGGCCUGCAGUGGUGGCGAGACUAGAGUGCGGUAGGGGAGAUUGGAAUUCCUGGUGUAGCGGUGGAAUGCGCAGAUAUCAGGAGGAACACCAAUGGCGAAGGCAGAUCUCUGGGCCGUAACUGACGCUGAGGAGCGAAAGCAUGGGGAGCGAACAGG
RNAcentral lists this ribosomal RNA (250 nucleotides) under uncultured bacterium. RNAcentral describes it as "partial 16S ribosomal RNA". It matches the Rfam family "Bacterial small subunit ribosomal RNA", at positions 524 to 776 of the family's 1533-position model. The record is from RNAcentral.